UGCAAGUCGAACGCUGAAGCCUGCAGCUUGCUGUGGGUGGAUGAGUGGCGAACGGGUGAGUAACACGUGAGUAACCUGCCCCUGACUCUGGGAUAAGCCCGGGAAACUGGGUCUAAUACCGGAUAUGACCAUUCUCCGCAUGGAGUGGUGGUGGAAAGUUUUUCGGUUGGGGAUGGGCUCGCGGCCUAUCAGCUUGUUGGUGGGGUGAUGGCCUACCAAGGCGACGACGGGUAGCCGGCCUGAGAGGGCGACCGGCCACACUGGGACUGAGACACGGCCCAGACUCCUACGGGAGGCAGCAGUGGGGAAUAUUGCACAAUGGGGGAAACCCUGAUGCAGCGACGCCGCGUGGGGGAUGACGGCCUUCGGGUUGUAAACCUCUUUCAGUAGGGAAGAAGCCUUCGGGUGACGGUACCUGCAGAAGAAGUACCGGCUAACUACGUGCCAGCAGCCGCGGUAAUACGUAGGGUACAAGCGUUGUCCGGAAUUAUUGGGCGUAAAGAGCUCGUAGGUGGUCUGUCACGUCUGCUGUGGAAACGCAAGGCUCAACCUUGCGCGUGCAGUGGGUACGGGCGGACUAGAGUGCAGUAGGGGAGUCUGGAAUUCCUGGUGUAGCGGUGAAAUGCGCAGAUAUCAGGAGGAACACCGGUGGCGAAGGCGGGACUCUGGGCUGUAACUGACGCUGAGGAGCGAAAGCAUGGGGAGCGAACAGGAUUAGAUACCCUGGUAGUCCAUGCCGUAAACGUUGGGCACUAGGUGUGGGGUCCAUUCCACGGAUUCCGCGCCGUAGCUAACGCAUUAAGUGCCCCGCCUGGGGAGUACGGCCGCAAGGCUAAAACUCAAAGGAAUUGACGGGGGCCCGCACAAGCGGCGGA
RNAcentral lists this ribosomal RNA (875 nucleotides) under Brevibacterium sp. Its description in RNAcentral is "bacterial SSU rRNA". It matches the Rfam family "Bacterial small subunit ribosomal RNA", at positions 56 to 936 of the family's 1533-position model. The record is from RNAcentral. Lineage: Bacteria; Bacillati; Actinomycetota; Actinomycetes; Micrococcales; Brevibacteriaceae.